Molecule: non-coding RNA, 45 nt
Filed under: Schistosoma curassoni
Lineage: Eukaryota; Metazoa; Platyhelminthes; Trematoda; Strigeidida; Schistosomatidae
Source: RNAcentral
GUCUUGCUGACGAGUUCCAAACAGCGUGAAACCCGGGUCCAGGAU